UAGGGAAUCUUCGGCAAUGGACGAAAGUCUGACCGAGCAACGCCGCGUGAGUGAAGAAGGUUUUCGGAUCGUAAAACUCUGUUGUUAGAGAAGAACAAGGACGUUAGUAACUGAACGUCCCCUGACGGUAACUAACCAGAAAGCCACGGCUAACUACGUGCCAGCAGCCGCGGUAAUACGUAGGUGGCAAGCGUUGUCCGGAUUUAUUGGGCGUAAAGCGAGCGCAGGCGGUUUCUUAAGUCUGAUGUGAAAGCCCCCGGCUCAACCGGGGAGGGUCAUUGGAAACUGGGAGACUUGAGUGCAGAAGAGGAGAGUGGAAUUCCAUGUGUAGCGGUGAAAUGCGUAGAUAUAUGGAGGAACACCAGUGGCGAAGGCGGCUCUCUGGUCUGUAACUGACGCUGAGGCUCGAAAGCGUGGGGAGCAAACAGG
This 429-nucleotide ribosomal RNA is filed under the name Chloroflexota bacterium. RNAcentral describes it as "Chloroflexi bacterium partial 16S ribosomal RNA". It matches the Rfam family "Bacterial small subunit ribosomal RNA", at positions 355 to 776 of the family's 1533-position model. The record is from RNAcentral. Lineage: Bacteria; Bacillati; Chloroflexota. RNAcentral also lists the same sequence under 1 other name.